UACGUAGGGUGCGAGCGUUAAUCGGAAUUACUGGGCGUAAAGCGUGCGCAGGCGGUGAUGUAAGACAGUUGUGAAAUCCCCGGGCUCAACCUGGGAACUGCAUCUGUGACUGCAUCGCUGGAGUGCGGCAGAGGGGGAUGGAAUUCCGCGUGUAGCAGUGAAAUGCGUAGAUAUGCGGAGGAACACCGAUGGCGAAGGCAAUCACCUGGGCCUGAACUGACACUGUGACACGAAAGCGUGGGUAGCAAACAGG
RNAcentral lists this ribosomal RNA (253 nucleotides) under uncultured bacterium. RNAcentral's name for it is "partial 16S ribosomal RNA". It matches the Rfam family "Bacterial small subunit ribosomal RNA", at positions 524 to 776 of the family's 1533-position model. The record is from RNAcentral.